RNAcentral lists this transfer RNA (71 nucleotides) under Phrynosoma platyrhinos (Desert horned lizard). Its description in RNAcentral is "tRNA-OTHER". Lineage: Eukaryota; Metazoa; Chordata; Lepidosauria; Squamata; Phrynosomatidae. The record is from RNAcentral.
GCCAGCAUGGUGCAGUGGUUUGAGCCUUGGACUGUGACUCUGAAGACCAGGGUUCGAAUCACAGCUUGGCC